GCAUGGCUCAGUUGGUUAGAGCGUGGUGCUGAUAAUGCCAAGGUUGCAGGUUCGAUCCCCGCAUGGGACA
RNAcentral lists this transfer RNA (70 nucleotides) under Podarcis lilfordi (Lilford's wall lizard). RNAcentral's name for it is "tRNA.Ile". The stretch from base 4 to 62 matches the Rfam family "tRNA", at positions 8 to 63 of the family's 71-position model. Rfam says of the family: Transfer RNA (tRNA) molecules are approximately 80 nucleotides in length. Their secondary structure includes four short double-helical elements and three loops (D, anti-codon, and T loops). Further hydrogen bonds mediate the characteristic L-shaped molecular structure. tRNAs have two regions of fundamental functional importance: the anti-codon, which is responsible for specific mRNA codon recognition, and the 3' end, to which the tRNAs corresponding amino acid is attached (by aminoacyl-tRNA synthetases). tRNAs cope with the degeneracy of the genetic code in two manners: having more than one tRNA (with a specific anti-codon) for a particular amino acid; and 'wobble' base-pairing, i.e. permitting non-standard base-pairing at the 3rd anti-codon position. The record is from RNAcentral. Lineage: Eukaryota; Metazoa; Chordata; Lepidosauria; Squamata; Lacertidae.